AAAGACUUAGUCCUAACCUUACCGUUGGUUUCUGCCAAACCUAUACAUGCAAGUAUCCGCACCCCGGUGUAAAUGUCCUCGAUCUCUUACCAAGACAAGAGGAGCAGGUAUCAGGUAUCAGGCACGCAAUGGCGGCCUAAGACACCUUGUUAAGCCACACCCCCACGGGCCCUCAGCAGUAACUAACAUUAAGCCAUAAGUGUAAACUUGACUUAGUCACGGCAGCACCAGGGUUGGUAAAUCUUGUGCCAGCCACCGCGGUCAUACAAGAAACCCAAAUCAACUGUACACGGCGUAAAGAGUGGGCCAAACACUUUUCUCUCUCAGCUGGGGCCAAACAACGACUGAGCUGUCAUAAGCCUAAGACGCACCUAAGCCCAAUAUAAACAUAACCCCAGAGCCCAAAAAAGAUGAACAACCCCCCACGAAAGCCAGGGAACAAACUGGGAUUAGAUACCCCACUAUGCCCGGCCCUAAAUCUAGAUGUUUCCCACUAAAACAUCCGCCCGGGAACUACGAGCACAAACGCUUAAAACCCUAAGGACUUGGCGGUGUCCCAAACCCCCCUAGAGGAGCCUGUUCUGUAAUCGAUAACCCACGCUAACACCUCACCCCUCCUUGCACAAACAGCCUACAUACCGCCGUCGUCAGCCCACCCUUACUGAAGGACCAACAGUGAGCACAACAAUCCUCCCAUUAACAAGACAGGUCAAGGUAUAGCUAAUGGAUGGGAAGAAAUGGGCUACAUUCUCUGAUCCAGAGUACAUUCUAACGAAAGGGGGCCUGAAACUGCCCCCCGAAGGAGGAUUUAGCAGUAAAACGUGACAAUUGAGCUCGUUUUAAGCUGGCCCUGGGACACGUACAUACCGCCCGUCACCCUCCUCACAAGCCCCCAAUACACAUAACUAAUCCCACAACCAGCUAAAGAUGAGGCAAGUCGUAACAAGGUAAGUGUACCGGAAGGUGUACUUAGCAUA
Molecule: non-coding RNA, 977 nt
Filed under: Trachyphonus usambiro (Usambiro barbet)
Lineage: Eukaryota; Metazoa; Chordata; Aves; Piciformes; Lybiidae
Description: partial 12S ribosomal RNA
Rfam family: Bacterial small subunit ribosomal RNA
Source: RNAcentral